UACGGAGGGAGCUAGCGUUGUUCGGAAUUACUGGGCGUAAAGCGUACGUAGGCGGCUUUGUAAGUUAGAGGUGAAAGCCUGGAGCUCAACUCCAGAACUGCCUUUUAGACUGCAUCGCUUGAAUCCAGGAGAGGUGAGUGGAAUUCCGAGUGUAGAGGUGAAAUUCGUAGAUAUUCGGAAGAACACCAGUGGCGAAGGCGGCUCACUGGACUGGUAUUGACGCUGAGGUACGAAAGCGUGGGGAGCAAACAGG
RNAcentral lists this ribosomal RNA (253 nucleotides) under uncultured bacterium. RNAcentral describes it as "partial 16S ribosomal RNA". It matches the Rfam family "Bacterial small subunit ribosomal RNA", at positions 524 to 776 of the family's 1533-position model. The record is from RNAcentral.